CAAUUAUUUCAACAUUAUAAUAUGCUAAUCCAAUUUUAUUUAAUUGGAUUUGAGGUCAUUUUUUAAAGCUUUAGACAGUUGACAUUGUAAUCUUCGUGAAUGGACCUUUGAUUCUUUCUUAACUAAGUCGUUAUUGGCAAAAAUCAAUGUUCACUUUUGACAAAAGUCCUAAUAUGCAACUCACAUAAUGUGAACUUACCACUUCUCUUGCACUAACUCUUUCUGUCCAUUCCAGUUCACCCCUCCAUGUCUUAAUCUCACGUCAUGGGAGGAAUAAUUUAUCACGUACAAUUAUGAAAAAAAUUCUGAAGAGGAGAAAACUGUUCAAACCUUUCAAGUAUCCAGUAGAAUUGUAUAACGAACGUAUGUAUUUGCUCAUUUCUUAGUUUUGUUUUAGCCUAGUCAAGUAUUUUUUAUACA
Molecule: long non-coding RNA, 420 nt
Organism: Diceros bicornis minor
Lineage: Eukaryota; Metazoa; Chordata; Mammalia; Perissodactyla; Rhinocerotidae
Exons: 2
Source: RefSeq, a predicted model, not a curated record